CAAGUAUUGGUAGAAUGUAGGAAAAGUGAAUGAUUAUGUGCGUUUGAAUACCCAAUGUUUUUGGUGAUUGUGGUCUCUUCCUGCAAUAUAGUUUGUGAUUUUGUGUGGAAAGUUACUUAAUUCAAUUAAUCAACUUUGGCCAGGAAAGCUCAAGACUUGACCAUGAAGAAAAGAGUGCAGGUGGAAACAAGAGCAUCAGCUGCCAAAAAGCAUCCAAAGCUCUCAUUUUGAAGAAGAAUGACAUGCCUAUCUUCCUCAAAAGUGAAGGAAAGAGAUGAGCAGCAACCACGUUAUGUGAAUCAGCUUCUUCUUAGUCAAGAAGAAAUCAGUGGCGUGCCAUAUCACCUUCUCUUCAUUUCCUUGGCACCAGAAACCUUAGUCCACUGUAGGACGAAACAACAUUUGUUAACUAUCGGACCUUGAUCUCAUGGAGAGUAACUUGUAGCAGAGACUAUAAAAAGCAAU
Molecule: long non-coding RNA, 465 nt
Organism: Macadamia integrifolia
Lineage: Eukaryota; Viridiplantae; Streptophyta; Magnoliopsida; Proteales; Proteaceae
Exons: 3
Source: RefSeq, a predicted model, not a curated record